UUUGUCCUACGGGGGGCAGCAGUGGGGAAUAUUGCACAAUGGGGGAAACCCUGAUGCAGCGACGCCGCGUGAGUGAGGAAGUAUUUCGGUAUGUAAAGCUCUAUCAGCAGGGAAGAAAAUGACGGUACCUGACUAAGAAGCCCCGGCUAACUACGUGCCAGCAGCCGCGGUAAUACGUAGGGGGCAAGCGUUAUCCGGAUUUACUGGGUGUAAAGGGAGCGCAGGCGGUGCGGCAAGUCUGAUGUGAAAGCCCGGGGCUCAACCCCGGGACUGCAUUGGA
Molecule: ribosomal RNA, 280 nt
Filed under: uncultured bacterium
Lineage: Bacteria
Description: partial 16S ribosomal RNA
Rfam family: Bacterial small subunit ribosomal RNA
Source: RNAcentral